RNAcentral lists this ribosomal RNA (880 nucleotides) under uncultured bacterium. Its description in RNAcentral is "bacterial SSU rRNA". It matches the Rfam family "Bacterial small subunit ribosomal RNA", at positions 27 to 897 of the family's 1533-position model. The record is from RNAcentral.
GAGUGAACGCUGGCGGCGUGCUUAACACAUGAAAGUCGAGCGAAUUUCAUCAGCUUAUCGCUGAAGUUAGCGGCAGACGGGUGAGUAAUAUUUGGGCAAUCUGCCCUCGAGUGGGAAACAACCGGCCGAAAGGCUGGCUAAUGUCCCAUAAGACCACGGAAUGGCAUCAUUCUGGGGCCAAAGCUCCGCAAGGGGCGCUUGAGGAGGAGCCCGAAUCCUAUCAGCUAGUUGGUGAGGUAACGGCUCACCAAGGCUUUGACGGGUAGCCGGCCUGAAAGGGUGACCGGCCACACUGGCACUGAGACACGGGCCAGACUCCUACGGGAGGCAGCAGUGGGGAAUUUUGGACAAUGGGGGCAACCCUGGUCCAGCGACGCCGCGUGAAGGACGAAGGUCUUCGGAUUGUAAACUUCUUUUGGAGGGGAUGAAUGCCCUGGUGAAAAACCAGGGGUGACAGUACUCUCUGAAUAAGCCACGGCUAACUACGUGCCAGCAGCCGCGGUAAUACGUAGGUGGCAAGCGUUACUCGGAAUCACUAGGCGUAAAGCGCAGGUAGGCGGUUCGGUAAGUCUUUUGUGAAAGCUCCCGGCUCAACUGGGAGAGGUCAAAGGAAACUACCGGGCUAGAAUGUGGUAGAGGAAGCUGGAAUUCCCGGUGUAGCGGUGAAAUGCGUAGAUAUCGGGAGGAACACCUAUGGCGAAAGCAGGCUUCUGGACCAUCAUUGACGCUGAUCUGCGAAAGCUAGGGGAGCAAACAGGAUUAGAUACCCUGGUAGUCCUAGCCCUAAACGAUGCUCAUUAGAUGUGGGAGGUAUCGACCCCUUCCGCGUCGAAGCUAACGCAUUAAAUGAGCCGCCUGGGGAGUACGGCCGCAAAGUGAA